This 228-nucleotide ribosomal RNA is filed under the name Gephyrocapsa oceanica. Its description in RNAcentral is "partial Bacterial large subunit ribosomal RNA". It matches the Rfam family "Bacterial large subunit ribosomal RNA", at positions 1182 to 1409 of the family's 2925-position model. The record is from RNAcentral. Lineage: Eukaryota; Haptophyta; Isochrysidales; Noelaerhabdaceae.
UAAAGUGAUGCACCGAAGCUUAGGGUGUGAUCUUCGGAUCACGCGGUAGCGGAGCGUUCCGUAGGCCUGUGAAGCGAUCUGGUAAUGGGUCGUGGAGGUAUCGGAAGUGCGAAUGCAGACAUGAGUAGCGAUAAAGAGGGUGAGAUGCCCUCUCGCCGAAAGACCAAGGGUUCCUGCGCAAGGCUAAUCCGCGCAGGGUGAGCCGGCCCCUAAGACGAGCCCGAAGGG